Molecule: long non-coding RNA, 1626 nt
Organism: Fukomys damarensis (Damara mole-rat)
Lineage: Eukaryota; Metazoa; Chordata; Mammalia; Rodentia; Bathyergidae
Source: Ensembl
GUGUUCACUUGGCAAGAAACUUACUUCGCUGAGAAACCCUUCUAGCAAGGAGGUAUUUCUACUCUACAAAUGAAUACCAACACAUCUGCAUUGACAAGUCGAAGCUUAUAUCCUUCUAUGGUGUUUUUGCUCUUUGAAAAUGUUAAUAAAAACUUAAUGUGGAAAAAAACAACUUUUUCCAAAUAUGUGUACCAAUGGGCCCGAGGCAACUCAUACUUGCUUAUAAAAUAAAAUAGGUCACUCACAUCAAUCAUAUCAUCUUAGCACAUUUUUUCCAAAUUAGGAAUUCUCCAUCCAUCACACCACAUUGUGGCAUCCCCUUUCCAAACAUUUCCUUUUAAUACGCUCUUUAACAUGAUAAGCAGAUCUAAUAGAAUACAUUAGUGUCACUUUCCAGUGAUGGAGUGUUUCCUCCUGUUGCAAGCCUCCUUGAGUUCGGAGAAGCAUUUUGACUAGCUUUCUCUCUAACAAUGAUCCAUUGCACAAUGAAAAUAUGACAGUUAAAAAGAAAAUAGGAUAGUUGUCUCACUGCUUCCAAAACCCCUCCUGGGUGUUAGCCUGAAAAACAGUGCCAAGGGUUCCUGUGUCUCCUCUCCACGUGUCACACAUGUAGAAGCUCAAAAGAUAUGUGUCUCUAAAAACAAAGUAAUAAAUCCGAUUCGUACAUGAGGAGAGUGUUUAAAUUUAGCCUGUCGGCUCAGUAGCGUUGCACAUGAGAACAUAUUAUUCUGUAUAGAUCAAAAGCUUACACUGGGCUUCAUUUUAAAACCACAUUGCUUGCAGAACACUUCCAAACCUCCUCGGUCCAAGAUCCUUGGCUUCAUAUGUGCUCGACUUGACUGUCCGAACCCUGUUACUGCCUUUCGUGAGUGGUGUUGGACUCCAGGGAGAGGCAGGCUCUGUUAAUAACCGGCUUGAGGCAGUUUCUUUGGAAAGCUGGCUGGCUGGGAAAAUUUGAUGACAACUCUUUCCAACCAGGGUCACCACUCAAGCCAUGCUUAGAUAUGGACAUUUCCUCAAGCUCCUCGUAGAGACUUUUCACACCCAUUCAUCAAAUACUUCCGGCCUUCCACUUUCUGUCUGUGCAAGGACUCUACCUCCUGCCUAUAAAUUUAAAUACAGCACAAGCCUGCUAGAGACACUGAAAUGUGUGUGGAAGUCACCCAUCCAACAGGAAGUUCAGGCUGGUGUGCAACCAUCUUGUCAUGACUGUGGAUAUGGGUGCCGCGAUGAAGCCACAAUGGAGCCCAGUCACUGUGACACACGGAGCUGCCAUGGAUGGUGCUAUGGUUUGAAUGUGGCUUGUCUCCCUCAAGACUCAUGGGAAAUGUGAUGUCAUCAUGGCCGCAUUGGGAGGCAGGGUCUUCAGGGAUGGUCAGUUGGUCAAGGAUUUGUGCCUUUCUUGUAAGAGUGGGUUAAUUCUAAUCGGAGGGGUGGUUAGUUAUUGGGAGAGUAGGGUACUACAAAAGUGAGUUUGCCUUCUUUGGCUCUUUCCUGCUUCCUCCUUCACCAUGUGAUUCCUCCUGCCCUUUCUCCGUGGUGUGCUGCAGCAGGAGACCCUCACCAGAAGCCAAGCCAGUGCCAGCACCAUGGCCUUGGGCUUCCAGCCUCCAGGAUAAUAAAGCA